RNAcentral lists this ribosomal RNA (273 nucleotides) under uncultured bacterium. RNAcentral describes it as "partial 16S ribosomal RNA". It matches the Rfam family "Bacterial small subunit ribosomal RNA", at positions 85 to 354 of the family's 1533-position model. The record is from RNAcentral.
CCGCCGGCGACCGGCGCACGGGUGAGUAACACGUAUGCAACCUGGCCGUGACAGAUGGAUUACCGGGAGAAAUCCCGCCUAAUACAGCAUGACGCCGGGAAGGGACAUCCCUUUCCGGCCAAAGGGGGCGACUCCGGUCACGGAUGGGCAUGCGGCGCAUUAGGUAGUUGGUGGGGCAACGGCCCACCAAGCCGACGAUGCGUAGGGGUUCUGAGAGGAAGGUCCCCCACAUUGGAACUGAGACACGGUCCAAACUCCUACGGAAGGCAGCAG